This 611-nucleotide unclassified non-coding RNA is filed under the name Aspergillus ochraceopetaliformis. RNAcentral describes it as "sequence contains 18S rRNA gene, ITS1, 5.8S rRNA gene, ITS2, 28S rRNA gene". The stretch from base 234 to 387 matches the Rfam family "5.8S ribosomal RNA". Lineage: Eukaryota; Fungi; Ascomycota; Eurotiomycetes; Eurotiales; Aspergillaceae. The record is from RNAcentral.
UCGUAACAAGGUUUCCGUAGGUGAACCUGCGGAAGGAUCAUUACUGAGUGAGGGUUCCUUCGGGGCCCAACCUCCCACCCUUGUAUACUGUACCAAGUUGCUUCGGCGGGCCCGCCGUUCGCGCGGCCGCCGGGGGGGAACCCCUCCCCCCGGGCGAGCGCCCGCCGGAGACCCCAACGUGAACACUGUCUGAAGUUUUGUCGUCUGAGUUCGAUUGUAUCGCAAUCAGUUAAAACUUUCAACAAUGGAUCUCUUGGUUCCGGCAUCGAUGAAGAACGCAGCGAAAUGCGAUAAUUAAUGUGAAUUGCAGAAUUCAGUGAAUCAUCGAGUCUUUGAACGCACAUUGCACCCCCUGGUAUUCCGGGGGGUAUGCCUGUCCGAGCGUCAUUGCUGCCCUCAAGCCCGGCUUGUGUGUUGGGUCCUCGUCCCCCCCGGGGGACGGGCCCGAAAGGCAGCGGCGGCACCGCGUCCGGUCCUCGAGCGUAUGGGGCUUUGUCACACCGCUCUCGUAGGCCCGGCCGGCGCUGGCCGACGCUGAAAAGCAACCAUUAUUUCUCCAGGUUGACCUCGGAUCAGGUAGGGAUACCCGCUGAACUUAAGCAUAUCAAUAA